GCUGGCGGCAGGCCUAAUACAUGCAAGUCGAGCGCACUUUCGGGUGAGCGGCGGACGGGUUAGUAACGCGUGGGAACGUGCCCUUCUCUAAGGAAUAGCCUCUGGAAACGGAGAGUAAUACCUUAUACGCCCUUCGGGGGAAAGAUUUAUCGGAGAAGGAUCGGCCCGCGUUAGAUUAGAUAGUUGGUGGGGUAAUGGCCUACCAAGUCUACGAUCUAUAGCUGGUUUUAGAGGAUGAUCAGCAACACUGGGACUGAGACACGGCCCAGACUCCUACGGGAGGCAGCAGUAGGGAAUCUUGGACAAUGGGCGCAAGCCUGAUCCAGCCAUGCCGCGUGAGUGAAGAAGGCCCUAGGGUCGUAAAGCUCUUUCGCCUGUGAUGAUAAUGACAGUAGCAGGUAAAGAAACCCCGGCUAACUCCGUGCCAGCAGCCGCGGUAAUACGGAGGGGGUUAGCGUUGUUCGGAAUUACUGGGCGUAAAGCGCGCGUAGGCGGACUGGAAAGUUGGGGGUGAAAUCCCGAGGCUCAACCUCGGAACUGCCUUCAAAACUCCCAGUCUAGAGUUCGAGAGAGGUGAGUGGAAUUCCAAGUGUAGAGGUGAAAUUCGUAGAUAUUUGGAGGAACACCAGUGGCGAAGGCGGCUCACUGGCUCGAUACUGACGCUGAGGUGCGAAAGUGUGGGGAGCAAACAGGAUUAGAUACCCUGGUAGUCCACACCGUAAACGAUGAAUGCCAGUCGUCGGGUAGUAUACUAUUCGGUGACACACCUAACGGAUUAAGCAUUCCGCCUGGGGAGUACGGU
RNAcentral lists this ribosomal RNA (802 nucleotides) under uncultured Paracoccaceae bacterium. RNAcentral's name for it is "bacterial SSU rRNA". It matches the Rfam family "Bacterial small subunit ribosomal RNA", at positions 35 to 886 of the family's 1533-position model. The record is from RNAcentral. Lineage: Bacteria; Pseudomonadati; Pseudomonadota; Alphaproteobacteria; Rhodobacterales; Paracoccaceae.